UACGGGGGGGGCGAGCGUUGUUCGGAAUUACUGGGCGUAAAGGGUUCGUAGGUGGCCUGCUAAGUCAGACGUGAAAUCCCUCAGCUUAACUGGGGAACUGCGUCUGAAACUGGCGGGCUUGAGUGCAGGAGAGGAACGCGGAAUUCCAGGUGUAGCGGUGAAAUGCGUAGAUAUCUGGAGGAACACCGGUGGCGAAGGCGGGUCUCUGGGCAACAACUGACGCUGAGGAGCGAAAGCGUGGGGAGCGAACAGG
RNAcentral lists this ribosomal RNA (253 nucleotides) under uncultured bacterium. RNAcentral's name for it is "partial 16S ribosomal RNA". It matches the Rfam family "Bacterial small subunit ribosomal RNA", at positions 524 to 776 of the family's 1533-position model. The record is from RNAcentral.